AUUGAACGCUGGCGGCAGGCCUAACACAUGCAAGUCGAGCGGUAACAGGGGUAGCUUGCUACCCGCUGACGAGCGGCGGACGGGUGAGUAAUGCAUAGGAAUCUGCCCGAUAGUGGGGGAUAACCUGGGGAAGCCCAGGCUAAUACCGCAUACGUCCUACGGGAGAAAGGGGGCUCCGGCUCCCGCUAUCGGAUGAGCCUAUGUCGGAUUAGCUGGUUGGUGAGGUGACGGCUCACCAAGGCGACGAUCCGUAGCUGGUCUGAGAGGAUGAUCAGCCACAUCGGGACUGAGACACGGCCCGAACUCCUACGGGAGGCAGCAGUGGGGAAUAUUGGACAAUGGGGGGAACCCUGAUCCAGCCAUGCCGCGUGUGUGAAGAAGGCCCUCGGGUUGUAAAGCACUUUCAGUGAGGAAGAACGCCUGGUGGUUAAUACCCAUCAGGAAAGACAUCACUCACAGAAGAAGCACCGGCUAACUCCGUGCCAGCAGCCGCGGUAAUACGGAGGGUGCGAGCGUUAAUCGGAAUUACUGGGCGCAAAGCGCGCGUAGGUGGCUUGAUAAGCCGGUUGUGAAAGCCCCGGGCUCAACCUGGGAACGGCAUCCGGAACUGUCAAGCUAGAGUGCAGGAGAGGAAGGUAGAAUUCCCGGUGUAGCGGUGAAAUGCGUAGAGAUCGGGAGGAAUACCAGUGGCGAAGGCGGCCUUCUGGACUGACACUGACACUGAGGUGCGAAAGCGUGGGUAGCAAACAGG
Molecule: ribosomal RNA, 751 nt
Filed under: uncultured Halomonas sp.
Lineage: Bacteria; Pseudomonadati; Pseudomonadota; Gammaproteobacteria; Oceanospirillales; Halomonadaceae
Description: bacterial SSU rRNA
Rfam family: Bacterial small subunit ribosomal RNA
Source: RNAcentral